UUGUUGUGUAAUUUGGCUAGAAGAUUCAAAUAUGAAUCACCCUCCUUUGAGUUUGAAUUCUUUUCCCUCUAUUUUUCAAAUGACAUUCAAAUGAGUUUUGUUUUAAACCUUUGACCCCAUUUGAAUAUUUUCCAAAUACUAGUACCAUAUUUGUUUUCUCCUACUUCUUAGCUAUUCAAAAAGGUGUUUCAAAUUUGAAUCCAAAAACUAUUUGCAAAAACAGAAAAAAAAAGGAAAAGAAAACCUUACCUGCUCACUUGGCCCGAGCCAGCCCAGCUGCCUCGGCCCGCCUUCCCCGCGCGCCGCGCAGCCCCGCAGCGCGGCCCCGUUUCUCUCCUCGUGCGCGCGGCCCGCCACCGCCCGCGGCCCAGUUUCCUUUGCGCCGCGCCUGCGUGCCGUUUCCCUGCAGCGAAAGCGCAUUCUGCAAAAUACACCACCUCUCACACGCCCGUCUUCCUCCUCACCUUUUCUCCCUCCCGAUCGGUGAGGCCCCCCGGCCACGUCCUCUUCGACAGCGAUAGCCCCGCCUCCACGCCGCCUUUAUAAGCUGCUCGGCGCCCCUCCUGCUAACCCUAGGCCAGCAAAACCCUAGC
RNAcentral lists this long non-coding RNA (593 nucleotides) under Brachypodium distachyon (stiff brome). Its description in RNAcentral is "long non-coding RNA (BDIS_LNC005660)". The record is from RNAcentral. Lineage: Eukaryota; Viridiplantae; Streptophyta; Magnoliopsida; Poales; Poaceae.